GGUGGCAUUAAUUCAUUGCUUCGCCAUAACACACGACGAGCGGCGAGCAGGACCUCCAGGGAUUAUACGUCCGAACAGAUCGCGUUAUUCUGCCACAGUUCGAGAGAUCCGAAGGCUAUGGUACAUUCGAAACAGACAGAGACGAACGCCGUUUCAUAUGAACAAAAAAAAGUGAUUGAUGUUUCAAUAGAUGGGCAGUGGAGGCUUAAUACUGGACUUUGAUAUGGACGUUUAUGUGGUCGGUUUCGCUGUUUUGGUGUGAUGUGCGGUGAUAUGUGGUUGUUUAGUUGCUAAAGUGACGACUGUGUCUAAUGGUAAGUUAAUUAUCUCUUGGUGACGUUAUGUUGACCCACUAAUUACCGAUAAUUUCUGAACGAGGUACAACAGUUUCGGCCGCCAUUCACCCCUACAGGUAUAACCCCGCUGCCAGGCGUACGAUUAGGAAAAAAAAUCCUCGCCCCCGUGACGCGAUUUUGAGAACAACAAAUCAGACAAACAUCAAGAAUAAACAAAACCCACGGUACUUUGACAUCAAUAAAUAUUAAAACCAGUAAAAAGAUAAAACUCCGAUCUCACAGAAAUGACAAAGAAUGAAGAUAGAGAGAGAAAGGGAACAGAAAACUAAGGGAAAAGAAAAGAAAAACACACCUUAGGCGAGACAGGUCGCUUGUGUAUCCAGGAAAGAGGUGAUAGUGGUAUUACACCCUCAGUCGGGAGACAUCCGUCGCCGUGUGUAGACAUACCCGUCUUGAGCACGACAAAACCAAAGACACAAACGAAACGGAAAAUAAAUCAAAUUAACCAGAACAGAGAAAAAAAAACAACAACAAAAAACCGAAAGAGUAAAAGAGACAACAAAGAAUAAAA
Molecule: long non-coding RNA, 867 nt
Filed under: Penaeus japonicus
Lineage: Eukaryota; Metazoa; Arthropoda; Malacostraca; Decapoda; Penaeidae
Description: uncharacterized LOC122251010
Source: RNAcentral